Molecule: long non-coding RNA, 1145 nt
Filed under: Numida meleagris (helmeted guineafowl)
Lineage: Eukaryota; Metazoa; Chordata; Aves; Galliformes; Numididae
Description: lncRNA (ENSNMEG00000004558.1)
Source: RNAcentral
UUAAGUAAGAACUUUACAUAACCUCUAUUUUUAGGGGUGGAGACUGGGAAGGAGCAAAGGGGGAAGAGAUGGAAACAGGUGUGAAAUGGUUUGAUGCUGUGCAGCAUGGUUGGAGCAGAACACCGGUCUGACCAAGCCCAGUGCCACCACAGCCUGCCCAGUGUUGUCCUGAAAUCCUUCCUUACCGGCCUUAGCGCAGUGUGUGAGAGCUGCAAGGAGCAGAUGCCAGCUCCUGGUGGCCCGAUGUGUGAGCUGUGGGACAGAGCAGAGGCACCAGGGCUGUGGUGUCAGCAGCUGGGGAGAUUGGACAAUUGACAGCUUGGGGACCCCACCAACCAGCCCCAGCUCACUCCUCCUGCUACUAGAGGCAGCGGCAAAGACAGAGCUGCAAACUGAGUGAAAACAGAAAGAGGCAAGGCAGUAGAAGUGGGGGGGGACCACAACACAGGUUACAACCUGAGGAUUACAGUGCUCUGGUGCACAGCAAGCCAUUUUUCUCAUGGGCAAAUGGAUUUUUGUAAGACAACGUGACAUCUGCAAGUUGAGCAUAAAGCUCUCUCUGCAAAAACCUCACCUAGUGGAGAACUUGCUUUUCUGCCUUGGCUCUGGGUGAGUUCCCUGGAAGAAGGCCUGGCUGGCAGGACACCAGCACCAGGCAGCAGUUUCUGGAGGACGCAGUGCUUGGCAUCGUGCUGAUGUUCUCAUUCCAGGGCUGACAAACAGCGCACACAGCCCCCGUGCCACAGGGGCUAGCAGCAGACUAGCAGCAAGGCUGGGCAGCCACUGGGAAAUCCACCUGUGCUGCCAUACACACCUUUAAAAGCCUUAAAAUUACGUGGUCAUCUGUGUAUUAAGUGAGAAAUUCAUCAGAAAUGGAGGGUUUUGCAAACACACAAAACUUGAUCAUGGAAUCAUAGAACGGUUUGGGUUGGAAGGGAGCUUUAAGAUCAUCUCGUUCCAACCCCCCUGCUGUAGGCAGGGACAUCUCCCUCUAGAAGUUUUUUACUGAUUUGUUUCAGAGCCCAUGUACUACCCCAGCUAUAGACCCAUAACCACAGCUUUGGUAACUCCCGCCACCGCGUCCUUCACUUUGUGUUAUAAAAGAAGAGUCAACAAAUAAAAGAAGAAACAACAAAUUCUUCUCA